CAGUCGCCGCGGGAAAACGGAGGGUGCAAGCGUUAAUCGGAAUUACUGGGCGUAAAGGGCUCGCAGGCGGUUUCUUAAGUCUGAUGUGAAAGCCCCCGGCUCAACCGGGGAGGGUCAUUGGAAACUGGGAAACUUGAGUGCAGAAGAGGAGAGUGGAAUUCCACGUGUAGCGGUGAAAUGCGUAGAGAUGUGGAGGAACACCAGUGGCGAAGGCAACUCUCUGGUCUGUAACUGACGCUGAGGAGCGAAAGCGUGGGGAGCGAACAGGAUUAGAUACCCGUGUAGUCCCUGUCUCUUAUAC
RNAcentral lists this ribosomal RNA (301 nucleotides) under uncultured bacterium. RNAcentral's name for it is "partial 16S ribosomal RNA". It matches the Rfam family "Bacterial small subunit ribosomal RNA", at positions 509 to 807 of the family's 1533-position model. The record is from RNAcentral.